GACGAACGCUGGCGGCGUGCCUAAUACAUGCAAGUGGAACGCAAUUGAUUCUCCCGUAGCUUGCUACAUUUGAAUUGAUUGAGUCGCGAACGGGUGAGUAACGCGUAGGUAACCUACCUUAUAGCGGGGGAUAACUAUUGGAAACGAUAGCUAAUACCGCAUAAGAGUUGACAACACAUGUUGUUAAUUUAAAAGGAGCAAUUGCUUCACUAUGAGAUGGACCUGCGUUGUAUUAGCUAGUUGGUAAGGUAACGGCUUACCAAGGCCUCGAUACAUAGCCGACCUGAGAGGGUGAUCGGCCACACUGGGACUGAGACACGGCCCAG
This 326-nucleotide ribosomal RNA is filed under the name uncultured bacterium. RNAcentral's name for it is "bacterial SSU rRNA". It matches the Rfam family "Bacterial small subunit ribosomal RNA", at positions 28 to 334 of the family's 1533-position model. The record is from RNAcentral.